This 427-nucleotide ribosomal RNA is filed under the name uncultured bacterium. Its description in RNAcentral is "partial 16S ribosomal RNA". It matches the Rfam family "Bacterial small subunit ribosomal RNA", at positions 355 to 774 of the family's 1533-position model. The record is from RNAcentral.
UGGGGAAUAUUGGACAAUGGGCGAAAGCCUGAUCCAGCCAUGUCGCGUGUGUGAAGAAGGUCUUCGGAUUGUAAAGCACUUUAAGUUGGGAGGAAGGGCAUUAACCUAAUACGUUAGUGUUUUGACGUUACCGACAGAAUAAGCACCGGCUAACUCUGUGCCAGCAGCCGCGGUAAUACAGAGGGUGCAAGCGUUAAUCGGAAUUACUGGGCGUAAAGCGCGCGUAGGUGGUUUGUUAAGUUGGAUGUGAAAUCCCCGGGCUCAACCUGGGAACUGCAUUCAAAACUGACUGACUAGAGUAUGGUAGAGGGUGGUGGAAUUUCCUGUGUAGCGGUGAAAUGCGUAGAUAUAGGAAGGAACACCAGUGGCGAAGGCGACCACCUGGACUAAUACUGACACUGAGGUGCGAAAGCGUGGUGAGCAAACA